RNAcentral lists this ribosomal RNA (476 nucleotides) under uncultured bacterium. RNAcentral's name for it is "bacterial SSU rRNA". It matches the Rfam family "Bacterial small subunit ribosomal RNA", at positions 28 to 414 of the family's 1533-position model. The record is from RNAcentral.
GAUGAACGCUGGCGGCGUGCUUAAGACAUGCAAGUCGAGGCGGACAACAUGUUUCUCACUAAGGUUCGAAACGGUAGAUAGUAGGCAAUAGUUUGUAGUUGGGUUAGCCCAUCUACCAUCUGUUAACUGCCAACUACCAAAGUUCCGAGCUUUAGUGAGGAAUGAUGGCGAGCGGCGGACGGCUGAGUAACGCACAGGAACGUACCCCAGAGUGAGGGAUAAUCCGCCGAAAGGCGGACUAAUACCGCAUAAUCUNUUCGGAGCAAAGGAGCAAUCCGCUAUGGGAGCGGCCUGUGUACGAUUAGCUUGUUGGUGAGGUAAAGGCUCACCAAGGCGACGAUCGUUAAGCUGGUCUGAGAGGAUGACCAGCCAGACUGGAACUGAGACACGGUCCAGACUCCUACGGGAGCAGCAGUCGGGAAUUUUCCACAAUGGGCGAAAGCCUGAUGGAGCAACGCCGCGUGCGAGGAGGAAGG